UACCGGAUAGGAGCGUCCACCGCAUGGUGGGUGUUGGAAAGAUUUAUCGGUUUUGGAUGGACUCGCGGCCUAUCAGCUUGUUGGUGAGGUAAUGGCUCACCAAGGCGACGACGGGUAGCCGGCCUGAGAGGGUGACCGGCCACACUGGGACUGAGACACGGCCCAGACUCCUACGGGAGGCAGCAGUGGGGAAUAUUGCACAAUGGGCGCAAGCCUGAUGCAGCGACGCCGCGUGAGGGAUGACGGCCUUCGGGUUGUAAACCUCUUUCAGUAGGGAAGAAGCGAAAGUGACGGUACCUGCAGAAGAAGCACCGGCUAACUACGUGCCAGCAGCCGCGGUAAUACGUAGGGUGCGAGCGUUAUCCGGAAUUAUUGGGCGUAAAGAGCUCGUAGGCGGUUUGUCGCGUCUGUCGUGAAAGUCCGGGGCUUAACCCCGGAUCUGCGGUGGGUACGGGCAGACUAGAGUGCAGUAGGGGAGACUGGAAUUCCUGGUGUAGCGGUGGAAUGCGCAGAUAUCAGGAGGAACACCGAUGGCGAAGGCAGGUCUCUGGGCUGUAACUGACGCUGAGGAGCGAAAGCAUGGGGAGCGAACAGGAUUAGAUACCCUGGUAGUCCAUGCCGUAAACGUUGGGCACUAGGUGUGGGGACCAUUCCACGGUUUCCGCGCCGCAGCUAACGCAUUAAGUGCCCCGCCUGGGGAGUACGGCCGCAAGGCUAAAACUCAAAGGAAUUGACGGGGGCCCGCACAAGCGGCGGAGCAUGCGGAUUAAUUCGAUGCAACGCGAAGAACCUUACCAAGGCUUGACAUGUUCUCGAUCGCCGUAGAGAUACGGUUUCCCCUUUGGGGCGGGUUCACAGGUGGUGCAUGGUUGUCGUCAGCUCGUGUCGUGAGAUGUUGGGUUAAGUCCCGCAACGAGCGCAACCCUCGUUCCAUGUUGCCAGCACGUAGUGGUGGGGACUCAUGGGAGACUGCCGGGGUCAACUCGGAAGGAAGGUGAGGACGACGUCAAAUCAUCAUGCCCCUUAUGUCUUGGGCUUCACGCAUGCUACAAUGGCCGGUACAAUGGGUUGCGAUACUGUGAGGUGGAGCUAAUCCCAAAAAGCCGGUCUCAGUUCGGAUUGGGGUCUGCAACUCGACCCCAUGAAGUCGGAGUCGCUAGUAAUCGCAGAUCAGCAACGCUGCGGUGAAUACGUUCCCGGGCCUUGUACACACCGCCCGUCAAGUCACGAAAGUCGGUAACACCCGAAGCCGGUGGCCUAACCCUUGUGGGGGGAGCCGUCGAA
Molecule: ribosomal RNA, 1284 nt
Filed under: Micrococcus luteus
Lineage: Bacteria; Bacillati; Actinomycetota; Actinomycetes; Micrococcales; Micrococcaceae
Description: bacterial SSU rRNA
Rfam family: Bacterial small subunit ribosomal RNA
Source: RNAcentral